This 381-nucleotide ribosomal RNA is filed under the name uncultured Alphaproteobacteria bacterium. RNAcentral describes it as "bacterial SSU rRNA". It matches the Rfam family "Bacterial small subunit ribosomal RNA", at positions 9 to 416 of the family's 1533-position model. The record is from RNAcentral. Lineage: Bacteria; Pseudomonadati; Pseudomonadota; Alphaproteobacteria.
GAGUUUGAUCUUGGCUCAGAACGAACGCUGGCGGCAGGCCUCAAACAUGCAAGUCUAGGGGGUGUAGCAAUACAUCACCGGCGGACGGGUGCGUAACACGUGGGAAUGUACCUAUUGGUUCGGAACAACGCAGGGAAACUUGCGCUAAUACCGGAUGAGCCCUUCGGGGGAAAGAUUUAUCGCCAAUGGAUCAGCCCGCGUCCGAUUAGCUAGUUGGUGGGGUAACGGCCCACCAAGGCGACGAUCGGUAGCUGUUCUGAGAGGAAGAUCAGCCACACUGGGACUGAGACACGGCCCAGACUCCUACGGGAGGCAGCAGUUGGGAAUCUUGGACAAUGGGGGAAACCCUGAUCCAGCCAUGCCGCGUGAGUGAUGAAGGCC